Molecule: non-coding RNA, 135 nt
Organism: Ictidomys tridecemlineatus (thirteen-lined ground squirrel)
Lineage: Eukaryota; Metazoa; Chordata; Mammalia; Rodentia; Sciuridae
Source: RefSeq, a predicted model, not a curated record
CUUGUUCUUUAACAAGCAUUUUACGGUCGAUACCGUGAAAAGUCACCCAUCGGUCACGGUAAUGAAAACCAGGCUCGUUUCAGGAGCUGAGCCCAGUAAGACAUGGGGAAUUUCGAAAGUGGAUGCAACUUCUUU